Anopheles gambiae (African malaria mosquito) is the source of this 1497-nucleotide long non-coding RNA. RefSeq lists it as uncharacterized. The record is from RefSeq and is a predicted model, not a curated record. NCBI's taxonomy places the organism in Eukaryota, Metazoa, Arthropoda, Insecta, Diptera, Culicidae. The transcript is spliced from 3 exons.
AGGCCUGGUUCAUACAUUUCUACGUCUUUGCUGCCCUCUGGUCGGUGGCCGGAUUUGCCGUCAUGAUGUAGCCAGCGCGGGACUACGUAAUCGCCUUCCUCGAUACGUUGGCAACCAACAAGCGUACGGUGCGCACCACGCCUACCGAGACGAUGGUUGCUAUGACGCUGAUCACGCUGCAGUGUUUGCGCCGGUUCUACGAGACCUGGUUCGUGCAGGUGUUCUCGAGCGAGCUGAAAAUCAUCACCCACGUACCACGAAAAACAUUCACAACUAUCCGAAGCAAAGGAAAGCACUCGUCCCAUUCGUUCUGUGAGAUCGACGGUGAGGGUGCGGAUAAUAUCGUUCCGGUUGUUGGGCUUUUUUAGGAUCGAAAAAAUGGUAUGGUUGGUGUCCGGCUUUUUUUAGGUUGCUGGUUCCCGGCUGAUGGGAUUCAUCUGGUUUUCCUGGAUCUUCUGUGAAUGCCUUGUUCCACGGACCGGUCGUCGAUGCACUCGAGGUGCACCGCAUUGACGAGCGGCAGUAGCAGGAUGCAAUCGGCGCGGCCGAGCUGGCAGCGAAGCCGGUUCUCGGUGAGCCAUUCACGCCGAAUGAGGGCGGUCAAGAGCCGGCUGCAUACGUUCGAUAUAUUCGCUACGCGCACGAUCAAACUGUGUAACGAUGCCGAGUGUGUCCGGCCAUCGCGACUAGAAGCAUAGCGGAAGUUAAGUUGCGUCGUCUAUUGUGACACCUUUUCAUCAACAACUGGCAUGACUAUCGGCGCACGGUCGGUGGCUCUAGCGAAGGGGAGGGUGCGUUCCAAUCGGCUGGCAGGACACAGAUCGGAUCGGUUAGGACAACGAUCGGCAUAGUACGGCUCGCGACCCGCAUGUGGCUAUUUGUUGACUAGUUGCCUCUUCAAGUGCAAAUCUACGAACAUGUUUAGAAGAUUUGGCUCUUUCGGUCGCAACGUUUGCCGAGUCGCUGGGGAUAUUGGAUUGUAAGGAAUGAAUAUACUAUCCGCAGGAACCAGAUGAUGACAUCACCAAGGAGCUAAUGCGCUAAAGCUUAUCAGAAGGAGGCGAGAAUGGUUUGAUGUUUUUGGCACAGCUCCCACGUAUCAUCCAUACCACACCAAAUCAUUAUGGCGCAGCCGUGAAUAUGUACAACGUCAUCCUGCUCGGGUAGGAUGGUGACGGUCUCCCGCUCGGUAUAUCUUGACGGCAGUAUAACGCAAGGCAUAUAGUAAUAAUAGUAUACAUAUAGUUUCAGUACGUUUAAUAAGUGUAAAGAAUGCUAAUAUCUUUGUUUCUUUUUCAAAUUUUCAGAUUCAAAUGAACAAUAUACAAGGUGCACUAAACAUACACUGGACUCUGUUUGGAACGGGUCUAGUAAAAGUAUUUGUUAUUGGUGCGUGCAUAUUAUUAUGUGCACCUAUUUUAUUUUUCCUAUCUUGUUACCGAUCGAACCGACCGAACCCAGUAGAAUAAAAAAUAUGAUUACAUUACAUAUUCCAAA